GGAUCCAGACUUUGAUUCUGGCUCAGGAUGAACGCUAGCGACAGGCCUAACACAUGCAAGUCGAGGGGCAGCGGGGAGGUAGCAAUACCUUUGCCGGCGACCGGCGCACGGGUGAGUAACACGUAUGCAAUCCACCUGUAACAGGGGGAUAACCCGGAGAAAUCCGGACUAAUACCCCAUAAUAUGGGCGCUCCGCAUGGAGGGCUCAUUAAGGAAAGCAAUUUUGGUUACAGACGAGCAUGCGCUCCAUUAGCCAGUUGGCGGGGUAACGGCCCACCAAAGCGACGAUGGAUAGGGGUUCUGAGAGGAAGGUCCCCCACAUUGGAACUGAGACACGGUCCAAACUCCUACGGGAGGCAGCAGUGAGGAAUAUUGGUCAAUGGUCGGCAGACUGAACCAGCCAAGUCGCGUGAGGGAAGGCGGCCCUACGGGUUGUAAACCUCUUUUGUCGGAGAGUAAAGUACGCUACGAGUAGUGUAUUGCAAGUAUCCGAAGAAAAAGCAUCGGCUAACUCCGUGCCAGCAGCCGCGGUAAUACGGAGGAUGCGAGCGUUAUCCGGAUUUAUUGGGUUUAAAGGGUGCGUAGGCGGCACGCCAAGUCAGCGGUGAAAUUUUCGGGCUCAACCCGGACUGUGCCGUUGAAACUGGCGAGCUAGAGUGCACAAGAGGCAGGCGGAAUGCGUGGUGUAGCGGUGAAAUGCAUAGAUAUCACGCAGAACCCCGAUUGCGAAGGCAGCCUGCUAGGGUGCGACAGACGCUGAGGCACGAAAGCGUGGGUAUCGAACAGGAUUAGAUACCCUGGUAGUCCACGCAGUAAACGAUGAAUACUAACUGUUUGCGAU
RNAcentral lists this ribosomal RNA (841 nucleotides) under uncultured bacterium. Its description in RNAcentral is "bacterial SSU rRNA". It matches the Rfam family "Bacterial small subunit ribosomal RNA", at positions 1 to 830 of the family's 1533-position model. The record is from RNAcentral.